This 377-nucleotide unclassified non-coding RNA is filed under the name uncultured Saccharospirillaceae bacterium. RNAcentral's name for it is "contains 16S-23S intergenic spacer region". The record is from RNAcentral. Lineage: Bacteria; Pseudomonadati; Pseudomonadota; Gammaproteobacteria; Oceanospirillales; Saccharospirillaceae.
UCCGGUUUGUCACCGGCAGUCUCCUUAUAGUCCCCGACCGGAUCGCUGGCAAAUAAGGAUAAGGGUUGCGCUCGUUACGGGACUUAACCCAACAUCUCACAACACGAGCUGACGACAGCCAUGCAGCACCUGUCACUGCGCUCCCGAAGGCACCCGGCCAUCUCUGGCCAGUUCGCAGGAUUUCAAGAGUAGGUAAGGUUCUUCGCGUUGCGUCGAAUUAAACCACAUGCUCCACCGCUUGUGCGGGCCCCCGUCAAUUCAUUUGAGUUUUAACCUUGCGGCCAUACUCCCCAGGCGGUCGACUUAUCGCGUUAACUUCACCACCAAGUCCAUAAAGGCCCCAACGGUUAGUCGACAUCGUUUACAGCGUGGACUAC